UCACACUCUGCCUCCACCUGUAAUGCCUUGCCCCUUUCUUCUACCUGGAGGAUUCCUGCUCAUGCUUUAAAAUCAAAUGCCAUCGCCUCUAGCUCCGGCUUAGCCCCAGCCCCUUCAUGGCACACGGUUCUCCGGACGUCCCGUUACCGCACUUCCCACCUGCCUGGGCGACUUUACGUGGCAAUAAUCCAUUUCUGUGUCUGCCUCCCAGUGAACUGUGCAAUCCUACGAGGCGGCGCCCAUGGUUGUCCUUUGUGCCACAGUGGUGGCCCCAGAAUGUGAUGUUUGCUGCGCAGCAGAGACCCUAGCAGCCCCUUGCACGCGCCUGCCUCCAUUCUAAGUACCCCGCGAUGCUCACCAUUAUAACCCGAGGCAGUGGGUACCAGCGUCAGCGCGACCCUACAGAUGAGGAAACCGAGGCACGGCGACAUUAAAAAGUUACGAGGCCAUUAGGUGGCACAGCCAGAUUUUGAGUCCAGGAAAUCUGCCUCGAGAGCCCUAAUUUUUAACCAGGAUGCCAUAAUGCCUCCAAGUAAAUAAAUGAAUAAAGUAACUGGAAGUCACUGGACUCCUCCUAAGGCCAAGGUCCUCUGGGUUUCAACUUCUGAAUUCCCAAGAACAGCAGCCACACUGGGGAUCGGGGCGAGGAGGGCACCUGCGAAGUCAACCCAGCCUUUCGGCUGCAGGGGCUCAAAAUGGUACAGGCCCGGCCGGAACCAAAGAGCCCAGCGCUCUGGUUACUUGUCCAAGCUGACAUGUCCUCACCCACAAGAACCAGAAAAUCCACUCAGAGUUUCCCAUACCCACCCCCAGGGCCACCCUGCAUCCUUCCCAUUAUAAGGAAACUUGAGAUUCUGAGGUUUCUUCCUGAGGAGCUAGUUCCAAACACAACGCACAUGGAAAAAGAGGCAAGAUUUACCACCGACUCUCCACGCCAGUGGCCAGUGGUUUCUGCCUAUGCACUUCAGGAUUCUUUCUUGGAAUUGGGCUGACGGAUCUGUGGGGGCAUGAAGGCCUGUCUGGGGCCCCCACCCCACUCAGCUGCUGAUGGUGUGGCUCCCUCAGGGUGAGGCUGGCCUGUCUACCAUUGUUGCCUCACAGCCCAGAUAACCAAUAUGGUCGGAAGCCCCAAAAUGCUGCCUCAAGGGCCUGUACUCUCACUCUCUUCUCCAAACCUGCUCAGAGCUGCCCUCGGGGAAGAAGAGUUGGAUCUGGUGAGUAAGACUGCUGGUAAGCAGUCAGAAUAUGAGGAGAAACCAACACCCCCAGGCUGACAGAGAGAUGGGAGAACGAGUCUCCAGGGGGCGAGCACAGAGGAAGGUCGGACUCCAGCUUGGGGACCAAGGCCGUGGGCUGGACCCCACCAUUCCCUAACUGAGAGCCUCGCAAUUUCUGGAUCCUUCUCAAACCUACUGAGUUACAUUCUCCAGAGGAAGCAUCCAGGAAUCUGUAUUUUCAAAGACCGCCUCCCCCCCCCCCCGCCCCCCGCCCCGGAUGCUUCUGAAGCACAACCACAAUUAUACAGCACCGUACAAAGGUUGGUGUUGCUGCGAUUCUGUGGAGAGAUAGCAGGUCUGGGUACUAUGCUAAGAGGGAACCCUCUAGAGCUGCCUGAGUUCCAAGUGGAGGAUUUCUAAGGGGUGUCACUUCACGACGGAGGUCCAGGGAAGAAGUCCAAUGAAUUUAGGGAAUCCGUGAACUCGGGGAGUGCAGCUCUCCACGGACGUGUAGAUGGUUCCUUCUGCCUUCAAACGUUCUCCUGGCAAGAGAACAGCCCCCUAAAUACACAGAGGCACGCAGACAGUGCCCCUCUGUCUCAGAACCUGCAGAAGCUAUAAGUUCCAGAGGGAUACCCACAGUAGAAGCCAACCGUCAAGUGUUUGAGGCUACCCAGGAGUACAAGGGAGAACCAGGCGGGCACCUGUCCCUACUGAGGGGAGCGCCCGAUGCCGAAGCGAAAGUCCUGCAUAGCCAGGAAGCGAGAGCAGAAGCCCUGGGACCUGGAGCCCGCCGGGCCCCCCACCAGGACCAGCGAUGAGCAAACCACUACCCUCUCUUGUGCCUCCGGCUUUCAUCUGUGAAACGUGGACACAACUUGUCCGCUACAGGAAGCUUCCGUGAGCAUCAAAUGAAAUAACGGAUGUGAAGGGUUGCAGGGCAUUACGAAAAGCCGUGCAAAUACAACGCAACGUUUCUGUUCUUCCAAAGGAGCAGGACUACCGCACCCUCCCACAAACACGAAACUUUUCUCCAAAGAACCAGAAGUUUGUGCAACCGAUUCGUUCAAUACCAAGUAGCCUCUGUGAAUCUCAUGCUUCGCCUCCCCGAGGAAAAGAAGCCUCACUCCCCUAAGAGACCGCCCCAAAGAAGCGCAUAGCUUGCCGCUGGAUCUCACCCACCGCGGGACCCCAGUGCAGGUGGAGUGCACUAACCGACGUGGGAGGGGAGGGGUGCUGCAACCUCGAAGAGGUUAUGUUAGGUGACUUCGAAAAGAAGGGUUAAAAGUGAAAGAGAUCCUGGAAGGCUUUUCAAAACCACUAAGUAACAAAUGUAGCUCCCACCUCCCACCCACGCACCACUGGAAAUAACUUUAAAUAAUGCAUCUGAGAAUGUCUGCAGAACAGGCAGUCUGGAUUAAGGCCUUUUGAAGGGAUGGCGUUCCAACAAGGAUCCUUUCAGGCACAUCAUCAUGAGAACCACUGAAUUCUCAGGCAAGUUCACCCUGACAAGUAUCUUUAGCCAAGACUGGCGACAUCGCUGAGAUCUUGGCGUGCUAACUCCCCCCACGUGGAAAAAGACUUUAUGGCCAAAAAGGCCUGGGAGCCCUCCCGGCCACUGCGUUACCCCAACUCUUACCCCAACAGUGUUGUGUGGAAGGCUCGCCUACUCUGUGUGACCAGAAUUCCAUAAAGAGCCUGGCUGGUCGCUGGGAUGUUGUAGAAACGCGGCCAUCGCCAUUUACUCUCUUUAACAAGCAUCGAUCGAACCCCUACCUUGUGCCGGGCGCUGUUCUGGCCCUUCGGGAUGCAGCGGGGAACAAAACAUACACAAAUCUUCGCCCUCGUGCAGCCUGUGUUGUUGGACAGAGGGCGGACAAGAAAUACGUAGAUAUACGCCCGUGCCUUCCAGCAAGUAUUUUGGACAGGAGUAAGGAGGGAACGGUGGGAGGGACUCCCUGUCCUACGCAGGGUGGUCAAAGAUCACCACCGGUGAAUCCGGGAGGGAGCGAAGCAUGCGGCCAUCUGCGGGAAGAGCCUUCCUGGCAGAGAUCAGCGGGCACAAAAUGCUCCCGCCAGUGGCACACUGAAUGCACUCCAGCAACAAGCAGUAGGGCCUGAGGCUUCCGUUGAAUGAGCAAGGAAGGUGACGGAGAGAAGAUUGACAGGUAGCAAGGGAACACCCCCGGUAAGGACUUGCAGCCUUCAGAUUUUUACCUUGACCGUGAUGGAGAAAACAUGGGGGGCAUUUGGGGGUGGUGGAGUAGUACAAUCUCUCCUAUGCUUUAGAAGGAUCUCGGUGACCGAGGUGCCUAUUUGCACCCUAAGGAGAUGCUGAGCACAGAGGCUGGAAAACACGAGAGGGGCCUGGGCUGGGGACGGAAUGGAGGGGCUGUCAGCCCAUGGCUGGUAUUCGAAGCCAGGAGUCUGGAUGAGACAGAAGAGAAGAGGUGCGUGUCUCGGCCGGGGGGGCCUCCAACUCUCACAGCGAGCGGACAGGAACCUGCACAGGGGUCAGGGCAGAAGCAGCCAAUGGGGUAGGGACACUCAGAACUGACUCCCGGCCGCCCCGGGUCUGCCGCAAGCGUCUCUCUCUCAAAAUAAACAAAGAUUAAAAAAAAAAUUUUUUUUCAUGUUUAGUUAUUGUUGAGAGACAAAGCAUGAGCGGGGGAGGGGCAGAGAGAGAGCGAGACACGGAAUCCGAAGCAGGCUCCAGGCUCCGAGGUGUCAGCACAGAGCCCGACGUGGGGCUCAGAAUCACGAACCACAAGAUCAUGACCUGAGCCAAAGUCGGACGCUCCACCGACGGAGUCACCCAGGCGCCCCAGAAGUUUAAUUCUUCUUCAAGACUCCGUUCUUAAUGCUUUAGGUUUUGCAAGAAGAGAAACAGCUAGAAUGAUCUCUCCAGCUGCUAACGCUGUCACUGCCUUUGCUUACAGGCUCCCUGGCUCAUACGAUGGGAUAGGUGCUGGGUUCUGAUGAGCUAAUGCAUGACACAAGUCUUUUGAUCUCAGAGACUUACUUGGAGGAGGUGGAGGGAGAAGGAAUAUAAUCCUUUUCAAGACUUUCACGUGAGGGGCACCUGGGUGGCUCCGUCGGUGAAGUGUCCGACUUGGGCUCAGGUGAUGAUCUCACAUCACGGUCUGUGGGUUUGAGCCCCGUGUCGGGAUCUGUGCUGAUAGCUCAGAGCCUGGAGCUUGCUUCGGAUUCUGGGUCUCUCUCUCUCUCUGCCCCUCCCCUGUGUCUCUGUGUCUCUCUCAAAAAUAAACAUUAAAAAAAAAAAAAAAAAGACUUUCAGGUCCUUGAAAGCUUCCUCAGUGGUUUCUUUUCUGCCACUAACGUCACUAAAGUGACUCUCAGAUUCCCACAUACUCCAGAAAGUUUCCCGGGUCAAUUUAGCACAGACACAGGAUCGUGGACACUAGUGCGCAUCUAAACCAAGCCCCUGAAGAGGACAACGAAGCUCAGAGAGAGGACUGACUUUCUGUCCCUCCCCAUGAUUAGCUGUGUGGUCUCGGGCAGUUACUUUCAACCUCAGUGCGCUAGUCAAGGCAUCUGUAAAAUGGGCAAUUACAAGAACACCCGCCAUCUUGGGUUCUGAUGAGAAUUAAGAUCGUCGUUACGUGCGCGAUUCUUAGAACGGUGGCUGGCACGUGCUACGUGCUCAACGGUGUCAUCCUUAAUUUCUAUCGCACAAGUCCCUCAGAGGGUUUGUGUCGGAGGAGCAGGGUCAUAAGGCAGUCCGACCUGACACAAACCCUGACACACAACCUUAUCCUUCCCUCCACAAAAGGCACAACCACCGUGAGUGAGCUUUUGAUCUCUGCCCCUCUGUGAUUGCUUUAUCCACUCUAACGGAAAAGAUUUUCUGUAUCCCACACUAUGAAUUAAAAAGGACUAUUAUCGGGGCGCCCGGGUGGCUCAGUCCGUUGAGCGUCCGACUUCGGCUCAGGUCACGAUCUCACGGUCCGUGAGUUCGAGCCCCGCGUCGGGCUCUGGGCUGACAGCUCAGAGCCCGGAGCCUGUUUCCGAUUCUGUGUCUCCCUCUCUCUGACCCUCCCCCGUUCAUGCUCUCUCUCUGUCUCAAAAAUAAAUAUACAUUAAAAAAAAUU
Neofelis nebulosa (Clouded leopard) is the source of this 5329-nucleotide long non-coding RNA. RefSeq lists it as uncharacterized. The record is from RefSeq and is a predicted model, not a curated record. Lineage: Eukaryota; Metazoa; Chordata; Mammalia; Carnivora; Felidae. The transcript is spliced from 2 exons.